GGAAUUUUUAUUUGAAGUAGCCUACCUAUUUCUUCAACUUCUUAAGUGAAGGCUAAUCGUUCUUGUUUUUCUUUUAAUGUUGUUCAGGUUAAAAGGUUAAUCGUUCUUGUUCUUCUAUUAAAUGUUGUUCUCCUAUAAAAACAU
Long non-coding RNA from Nilaparvata lugens (brown planthopper), 144 nucleotides. RefSeq lists it as uncharacterized. The record is from RefSeq and is a predicted model, not a curated record. Lineage: Eukaryota; Metazoa; Arthropoda; Insecta; Hemiptera; Delphacidae. The transcript is spliced from 2 exons.